This 327-nucleotide ribosomal RNA is filed under the name uncultured bacterium. RNAcentral's name for it is "bacterial SSU rRNA". It matches the Rfam family "Bacterial small subunit ribosomal RNA", at positions 28 to 334 of the family's 1533-position model. The record is from RNAcentral.
GAUGAACGCUGGCGGCGUGCUUAACACAUGCAAGUCGAACGAAGAAGGUUAGAAUGAGAGCUUCGGCAGGAUUUCUUUCCAUCUUAGUGGCGGACGGGUGAGUAACGUGUGGGCAACCUGCCCUGUACUGGGGAAUAAUCAUUGGAAACAAUGACUAAUACCGCAUGUGGUUCUCAGAAGGCAUCUUCUGAGGAAGAAAGGAUUUAUUCGGUACAGGAUGGGCCCGCAUCUGAUUAGCUAGUUGGUGAGAUAACAGCCCACCAAGGCGACGAUCAGUAGCCGACCUGAGAGGGUGAUCGGCCACAUUGGGACUGAGACACGGCCCAA